This 73-nucleotide transfer RNA is filed under the name Neotessella volvocina. Its description in RNAcentral is "tRNA-Thr". It matches the Rfam family "tRNA". From Rfam's summary of the family: Transfer RNA (tRNA) molecules are approximately 80 nucleotides in length. Their secondary structure includes four short double-helical elements and three loops (D, anti-codon, and T loops). The record is from RNAcentral. Lineage: Eukaryota; Synurophyceae; Synurales; Neotessellaceae.
GCUGAUAUAGCUCAGUUGGUAGAGCAGCUGACUUGUAAUCAGCAGGUCAAGAGUUCGAGUCUCUUUAUCAGCU